Molecule: ribosomal RNA, 253 nt
Filed under: uncultured bacterium
Lineage: Bacteria
Description: partial 16S ribosomal RNA
Rfam family: Bacterial small subunit ribosomal RNA
Source: RNAcentral
UACGAAGGGGGCUAGCGUUGUUCGGAAUUACUGGGCGUAAAGCGCGCGCAGGCGGUCUUCCAAGUCAGUGGUGAAAGCCUGGAGCUCAACUCCAGAACUGCCUUCGAUACUGGCGAUCUCGAGUCCGGAAGAGGUGAGUGGAACUCCUAGUGUAGAGGUGGAAUUCGUAGAUAUUAGGAAGAACACCAGUGGCGAAGGCGACUCACUGGUCCGGUACUGACGCUGAGGUGCGAAAGCGUGGGGAGCAAACAGG